RNAcentral lists this long non-coding RNA (1155 nucleotides) under Olea europaea subsp. europaea. The record is from RNAcentral. Lineage: Eukaryota; Viridiplantae; Streptophyta; Magnoliopsida; Lamiales; Oleaceae.
AUCGAUGUACAUGUAAUAUAUUGGAAUUUGCCAUUGUCGUCGUACCUACUCCACCCAUGCCACAGAUCACAAUUAUGCUGACUUUUUUGUCCUUUAGAGCAUCCAUGAUUUCCUUUUUACUUAAUAUCCUUGUUUCGAAAGCUCCAAAGUCAUGGGAGUUUUGAAAAGGUAUUUGCACCAAUUGUUUAGGUUUGGCCACAUUUCGAAAUAAUUUACCUUCCUUUUGGAGCUUAGCAACCUCAGUCGUCUUCUCUGUGGCUUUCCAGCCAAGCAAGUAAUGGGUCUACAAUUUGGACAAAUAAAGAAUAGGCACUGCAUUUCAGAAUUUGUUUCACUUUCCAAAACUUCAUAUGCCUGUUUCUUCAAGUCAUCAACCUUUUUCAACCAAUCUAUAACACCGGGUUUAAUAGUUUAUGCAUUUCUUCCUGCUUCAACAACCAAUUUUUGCACUUCAUUUUCCGUAAUUCCAAGACGUUUUACCUCAUACCUCAAAGUUUCAAUUGUUCUAUUGUAGCAUAACAUAUUCUCGAAUUGGCACCAAAUUGGUUUCAUUGCAAACCCCGCGAGGUUCUUAACAAGAGAAAAAGAGAAUGCUUUCUGCCAUUAUCAAUUUUCCAAUUCAAACAGCAGUAUCAAAGGAGCCUAUCAGCAUAAAAAAAUAAAAAAUAAAACACAUUGAAAGGUCUUAGAAUUACAUUCCACCACAAUUUUUAGUAAACUUUAACAAAUCAAUAGCAAAAGAAAAAAGAAUUAUUCCCCAGUAAAUGAUCGAUCCUAUGUGCGAAAUUAUAUGAACUAUAUGGGAUUGAAAAGAAACAUGGUUGAUAGGAUUGAAAGUUCCCCUUUAUGAUAGAUGCAGUGAUUUGUCAUUAAGCUUAUUAAUUUUAACUAGGUGGGUGUUUUGUGUAUCAUUUUGGCAUGUAAUUAAACAAUAAAGCUAGCUUCUGUCUAUGCAACUAUUUUGUUACCUCAGUACGCAACCUUUCGUGAAUCUUUGAAUAUUAGACUAUAUUUCAUCAAUUCUACUCUUUCUUUUCUUUUACUAUUUUUCUUGCAAGCAAGUGGAUUCAGGGCUCUAAUCCAUAGUUUCAUAACAAAUACAUAGUCUAUAUAGGUUCAUUUGAAAAAUGAAAAUAAAAUAAAAUUGUAGAGCUC